AUAAGAAAAGAAGAGCGUAUGGAGGAUGCCUAGGCACAAAGAGGCGAAGAAGGACGCAGCAAACGGCGAAACGCAACGUCAAGUGGUAAGCACACGCAAGAGGCGUUGAUAUCCGAAUGGGGGAACCCACCAGAUAAAGUCUGGUAUCGAUGUAUGAGAAAAGUAGUACAUUAGAGGCAAUACGCAGGGAACUGAAACAUCUAAGUACCUGUAGGAGAAGAAAAUAAAGAAAUGAUUUCCUAAGUAGUGGCGAGCGAAAGGGAAGGAGCCCAAACCAGCAAAGCUGGGGUUAUAGGACACUCAAAGAAGACAAGAAGCGUUAUAGGAGAAUAGUCUGGGAAGGCAAGCCAGAGAGGGUGAAAGCCCCGUAACCGAAAUAGCGUAAAGUCGAGAGUGAAUCCUGAGUACAACGGGACACGAGUAAUCCUGUUGGAAGGAUCGAGGACCAUCUCGAAAGGCUAAAUACUCCUUUGUGACCGAUAGCGAACAAGUACCGUGAGGGAAAGGUGAAAAGAACCCCGGGAGGGGAGUGAAAAAGAACCUGAAACCAUAUGCUUACAAGAAGUCAGAGCCCGUUAAAGGGUGAUGGCGUGCCUUUUGUAGAAUGAACCGGCGAGUUAUGAUAUGCAGCAAGGUUAAGCAGGAGAUGUGGAGCCGAAGCGAAAGCGAGUCUUAAAAGGGCGAGAGUUGUAUGUCAUAGACCCGAAACCGAGUGAUCUAGCCAUGACCAGGUUGAAGUUGGGGUAAAACCCGAUGGAGGACCGAACCGACCCCCGUUGAAACGUUGGCGGAUGAGUUGUGGCUAGGGGUGAAAUUCCAAACGAACUCGGAGAUAGCUGGUUCUCCCCGAAAUAGCUUUAGGGCUAGCGUCAGGAAAGAAAGUCGCAUGAAGGUAGAGCACUGAAUAUGUGAUGGCCCCAUCCCGGGGUACUGAAUAUAAUCAAACUGCGAAUGUCAUGAGGACAAGCCUGGCAGUCAGACAGUGGGUGAUAAGGUCCAUUGUCAAGAGGGAAACAGCCCAGACCAUCAGCUAAGGUCCCAAAAUAUAUGCUAAGUGGAAAAGGAUGUGGAGAUGUAAAGACAACUAGGAGGUUGGCUCAGAAGCAGCCACCCUUUAAAGAGUGCGUAACAGCUCACUAGUCGAAUGACUCUGCGCCGAAAAUAUACCGGGGCUAAGCAUAAUACCGAAGCUAUGGAAUUACUAAGUAAUUGGUAGGGGAGCGUUCUAAGGUCGAAGAAGUAUGAUCGAAAGGACAUGUGGAGAGCUUAGAAGAGAGAAUGCCGGUGUGAGUAGCGGAACGUGGGUGAGAAUCCCACGCACCGAAAACCCAAGGUUUCCAGAGGAAGGUUCGUCCGCUCUGGGUAAGUCGGGACCUAAGGCGAGGCCAAAAGGCGUAGUCGAUGGACAACAGGUAGAAAUUCCUGUACUGUAUAUUGAGUGAAGGAGUGACGGAGAAGGCUAGAUGAAGCCAGCGGAUGGAAGAGCUGGUGCAAGCGAGAUAUCUAAUACGUAGGCAAAUCCGCGUAUUAAAAAGGAGAAGGCGUGAAGCGGAUGGAAAGUGAGAACGAGUACAGAAGUCAUUGAAGCAAGCUUCCAAGAAAAGCUUCUAGCAAAUUGAUAUAUACCCGUACCGAAAAUGGACACACAUGGGUGAGGAGAGAAUCCUAAGGUGAGCGAGAGAACUAUAGCUAAGGAACUCUGCAAAAUGACUCCGAGAAGGAGUGCUUAUGAAAGUAAGCCGCAGUGAAACGGCCCAAGCGACUGUUUAUCAAAAACACAGCUCUCUGCGAAGUCGAAAGACGAAGUAUAGGGGGUGACGCCUGCCCGGUGCUGGAAGGUUAAGAGGAGUUGUAAGCCAAAGGCGAAGCAAUGAAUUGAAGCCCCAGUAAACGGCGGCCGUAACUAUAACGGUCCUAAGGUAGCGAAAUUCCUUGUCAGGUAAGUUCUGACCCGCACGA
RNAcentral lists this ribosomal RNA (1959 nucleotides) under feces metagenome. RNAcentral's name for it is "bacterial LSU rRNA". It matches the Rfam family "Bacterial large subunit ribosomal RNA", at positions 1 to 1995 of the family's 2925-position model. The record is from RNAcentral.